RNAcentral lists this ribosomal RNA (490 nucleotides) under uncultured bacterium. RNAcentral's name for it is "partial 16S ribosomal RNA". It matches the Rfam family "Bacterial small subunit ribosomal RNA", at positions 28 to 507 of the family's 1533-position model. The record is from RNAcentral.
GAUGAACGCUAGCUACAGGCUUAACACAUGCAAGUCGCGGGGCAGCAUGGGGGUUGCUUGCAAUCCCCGAUGGCGACCGGCGCACGGGUGAGUAACGCGUAUCCAACCUGCCCUUCACCACGGGAUAACCCGGCGAAAGUCGGACUAAUACCGUAUGUUGUCCAUUGACGGCAUCCGAUUUGGACGAAAGGUUUGGCGGUGAAGGAUGGGGAUGCGUCCGAUUAGCUGGACGGCGGGGUGACGGCCCACCGUGGCGACGAUCGGUAGGGGUUCUGAGAGGAAGGUCCCCCACACUGGAACUGAGACACGGUCCAGACUCCUACGGGAGGCAGCAGUGAGGAAUAUUGGUCAAUGGGCGUAAGCCUGAACCAGCCAAGUAGCGUGCAGGAUGACGGCCCUAUGGGUUGUAAACUGCUUUUAUGCGGGGAUAAAGUGGCCCACGUGUGGGUUUUUCCAGGUACCGCAUGAAUAAGGACCGGCUAAUUCCGUG